UUUAACACCCCUGAUUUAGAUGCUAAUAGAUUUGUAUUUAGUACCGCCAAGUCUAAAACUGAACAAACAACUGAUGGUUGGAUGGGAGAUUUGCACUGUGGAAAAAAAUGGCCAGAGGCCUGCACUGGAUGAACAUAUUACAGAAUGGAAGAAUAUAUUAAAUCGUGCCACAAUAUAAUUCAAGAAUUAAUUAAUUGACAGAUAUUAUUGGUUUCCAUUCAAAUGAACUGGACUCAACCUGAUGUGCACUUUGUUGGCCUUCUGCUUGGAUGAGUGACUGUGAGCCUCAACAAAAAGUAGAGCUUCGACCUGUCAAACAGGACUUUCAGACUAAAAGUGUGCUUAGGCCCAUUAUUGGCCUACCGUUUUAUCCUGCCUUGUGUCAUAUGCUGCAUUGGUAGCCAUCACUUCCCUGUGACUCUGCAAUGGAAAAAAGGGGUUGGUUCUCAUUAACUUGAACUGUAUUCAUUGACUGGGAUAAUUAAUGGACAUAUAGGCAUUUUUAAAAUUAUCUGAAAGGUUCAGUUGCAAUCAAGUGAUCUCUCGGUCUGUGACGCUGCCUCUGUCAAUAUCACGAUAGUGCGGAAAUAAAGAAAGAAGCAGGAAAACUGAGGAACAAACAAACCCGUAAGAAGACACGCACUCGAGUUCCCUUCCAUGUUUACAACAAGAGCAACCCCGUCCCGUUCUGAUGACAUCACUUUCCGGCUCCACGUUUCAACAUCACGAUGACGUCUCCUGGAUUUUCCCAUCAAUCCCGUUGUACCUAAUUUCUUGU
Long non-coding RNA from Polypterus senegalus (gray bichir), 778 nucleotides. RefSeq lists it as uncharacterized. The transcript is spliced from 5 exons. The record is from RefSeq and is a predicted model, not a curated record. Lineage: Eukaryota; Metazoa; Chordata; Cladistia; Polypteriformes; Polypteridae.